Molecule: transfer RNA, 71 nt
Filed under: Marmota monax (woodchuck)
Lineage: Eukaryota; Metazoa; Chordata; Mammalia; Rodentia; Sciuridae
Description: tRNA.Ala
Source: RNAcentral
GGGGUUGUGGCUCAGCGGUAGAACACUCGCCUAGCAUGUGAGAGGCGCUGGGUUCAAGCCUCAGCACCACA